Molecule: ribosomal RNA, 360 nt
Filed under: Rhincalanus rostrifrons
Lineage: Eukaryota; Metazoa; Arthropoda; Copepoda; Calanoida; Eucalanidae
Description: partial 16S ribosomal RNA
Source: RNAcentral
UCUUAACGAAUAGUUAUACCUCCUGCCCAAUGAAAUAUUUAAAUGGCCGCGCAGGUGCUAAGGUAGCAUAAUAAUUAGUUUUUUAAUUGGAAAAUAGUAUGAAUGGUGCCACCAAAGAUAGAAUUAAUAUUUACACUUAUGAAUUUUUAAUAUUGGUGAAAAUACCAAUUUCAAUUAUUUAGACAAAAAGACCCUAUGAAGCUAUUGAAUAAAUAAAGAAUUAAUAUAAUAAUUAAAUUCAUUUUUUGGGGUAAAAUUGAAAACCAUUAUUCAUAUAAAUUAAAUCGAAUGAGCCUUUAGGAAUUUCAACAAAGCUCCUCUAGGGAUAACAGCAUUAUACCUAUAAGAGUCCCUAUUAGA